CACGUAGGGCGCAAGCGUUGUCCGGAAUUAUUGGGCGUAAAGAGCUCGUAGGCGGUCUGUCGCGUCGGCUGUGAAAACCCGAGGCUCAACCUCGGGCCUGCAGUCGAUACGGGCAGACUAGAGUGUGGUAGGGGAGACUGGAAUUCCUGGUGUAGCGGUGAAAUGCGCAGAUAUCAGGAGGAACACCGGUGGCGAAGGCGGGUCUCUGGGCCAGU
This 215-nucleotide ribosomal RNA is filed under the name uncultured bacterium. RNAcentral describes it as "partial 16S ribosomal RNA". It matches the Rfam family "Bacterial small subunit ribosomal RNA", at positions 524 to 738 of the family's 1533-position model. The record is from RNAcentral.